AGGACGAACGCUGGCGGCGUGCUUAACACAUGCAAGUCGAGCGGUGAUCCUCCUUCGGGAGGUGAUCAGCGGCGAACGGGUGAGUAACACGUAGGCAACCUGCCCCUCACACUGGGAUAACCUCGGGAAACCGGGGCUAAUACCGGAUACGACCUCGAGCGGCAUCUCUUGAGGUGGAAAGCUCCGACGGUGAGGGAUGGGCCCGCGGCCUAUCAGCUUGUUGGUGGGGUAAUGGCCUACCAAGGCGACGACGGGUA
This 257-nucleotide ribosomal RNA is filed under the name uncultured bacterium. RNAcentral's name for it is "partial small subunit ribosomal RNA". It matches the Rfam family "Bacterial small subunit ribosomal RNA", at positions 26 to 285 of the family's 1533-position model. The record is from RNAcentral.